UACGUAGGCAGCAAGCGUUGUUCGGAGUUACUGGGCGUAAAGAGUGCGUAGGCGGUUUUCUAAGUUUGGUGUGAAAUCUCCCGGCUCAACUGGGAGGGUGCGCCGAAAACUGGAAGGCUUGAGUAUGGGAGAGGUAAGCGGAAUUCCUGGUGUAGCGGUGAAAUGCGUAGAUAUCAGGAGGAACACCUGUGGUGUAGACAGCUUACUGGACCAUCACUGACGCUGAGGUACGAAAGCGUGGGUAGCAAACAGG
This 253-nucleotide ribosomal RNA is filed under the name uncultured bacterium. RNAcentral describes it as "partial 16S ribosomal RNA". It matches the Rfam family "Bacterial small subunit ribosomal RNA", at positions 524 to 776 of the family's 1533-position model. The record is from RNAcentral.